AACGAACGCUGGCGGCAUGCCUAACACAUGCAAGUCGAACGGGAUCCUAGCUUGCUAGGUGAGAGUGGCGGACGGGUGAGUAACACGUGGGAAUCUGCCUUUUGGUUCGGGAUAACCGCGGGAAACUGCGGCUAAUACCGAAUGCCCUCGAGAGACGGAAAGAUUUAUCGCCAGAAGAGGAGCCCGCGUCCGAUUAGGUAGUUGGUGGGGUAAAGCCUACCAAGCCGACGAUCGGUAGCUGGUCUGAGAGGAUGAUCAGCCACACUGGGACUGAGAUACGGCCCAGACUCCUACGGGAGCAGCAGUGGGGAAUAUUGGACAAUGGGGCAACCUGAUCCAGCAAUGCCGCGUGAGUGAUGAA
RNAcentral lists this ribosomal RNA (361 nucleotides) under uncultured bacterium. RNAcentral's name for it is "bacterial SSU rRNA". It matches the Rfam family "Bacterial small subunit ribosomal RNA", at positions 29 to 412 of the family's 1533-position model. The record is from RNAcentral.